Long non-coding RNA from Monodelphis domestica (gray short-tailed opossum), 8011 nucleotides. RefSeq lists it as uncharacterized. Lineage: Eukaryota; Metazoa; Chordata; Mammalia; Didelphimorphia; Didelphidae. The record is from RefSeq and is a predicted model, not a curated record.
CACUUCUGAAGCAGCCCAACAGGCUUACACAUUUCUCCCAAGCUAAUUCCUCAAGGAUGCGUAACGACGCCGUAAAACACACACACACACAUGCACACAAUCCACUGGACCCGGAUAUACUUUCACAACCCCGAAGAACACAUCUGCAGGCCCCCACCCUCUUAAGCUGCUUCCUGGUCCUCGCCCCCCGACCUCCCAUCCCACCAGACUCGGAGCCUGGCGGCUGGCUUUCCCCUGAGGGAGGAGAGGCAGCCGCCGCAGCAGCUGCCGACGACCCGGGAAGCUCCUCCUCUUGCCCUUCUCCGAGAAGCCCGGCCGCAGCGUAGGCUCCGGAGCGAGUGGGCAGCCGAUGACAGCAUCUGCCUCACAUUCUAAGCUGCAAUCAUUCUGUAGAGCACCGCACACUGAUGGGUUCGACGCCCAAUAGGUUUCAUAGAUUUCAAACUGGAAGGGACCCGAACUGUACUGUGCUAAAGAAGAUCAGAUGUCCCCAUUAAGUCUGGGACAGAAUGCCCUGGAAGAAGAGAACCAUCAACAGGACCGACCUAAGGAAUGUCAAAAUGGAGGAAGUCAGCCCCUGUCAUGAUCAGCCAUGGAAUUGAACCUAUUGAAUGACCAAUGCUCUUUCAGCCUGAACAAGACUAGGAGACCCAAUCUUAAAAGCACAAAGGUUAUUCAGAUAGCAAAUGCAAGAGCUGUCCUCUCUCUACAAUGCCACAAUGCCACGGGUAUCCAACUUUAUUAUCUUUUUUUUGUAUCAUACCUGCAAGCAGUGCUAGAGCAUCAGUUUAUAAUCAGUGCUCCAAGAAACUUAAUUCAAGAGACCUGGUGCUUCCCUCCUGGCCCCAGGAUGCCUUAACUUUCUCUGGUUUAUGCUUUAUUCAGGUCCUCUGAUUCAGCAACACCACUAUUAGGUCUGUAUCCCAAAGAGAUCGGAAAAAAGGGGAAAGGAUCUAUUUCCAUAAAAAUACUUAUAGCAGCUCUUUUUGUGGUGGAAAAGAAUUUGGAAAAUGAGAGGAUGUCCAUCACUUGGGGAAUGGCCGAACAAGUUGUGGUAUCUGAUUAUAAUGGAAUACUAUUGUGAUCUAGGAAAUGACAAGCAGGAUGGUUUUAGAAAAACCCAGGAAGAUGUAUACAUGAACUGCUGCAAAGUGAAGUGAGCAGAACCAGAACAUUGUACACAAAGACAGCAGUAUUCUAAGGAUGAUCAACUGAAAGACUUAGCUAUUUUCAGCAAUACAAUGAUCUAAGCAAUUCUGAAAGACUUACAAUGGAAAAUGCUAUCCAAUCCAAGAAAGAAUUGAAUUGAAAACAGAUCAAAGUAUACUAUUUUCCACUUUAUUUUCUUUCUGGUUUUUUUUUUUUUUGGUACAAGUCUUCCAUGACUUGACCAACAUAGAAAUGUUUUGUAUGAUCACACAUGUAAAAUCUAUACCAAAUUGCUUACAGUCUAAGGGAAGGAAAGAAUUUUGAACUCAAAAUUUUAGAAAACUAAUAUUAAAAAUUAUUUUUACAUGUAAUUGGGAAAAAUUUUUGAAAGAUAAAUUUAAAAAAAAAGAAUACUUGCACUACCAAUCACCCAGUGCUGUUAUAUGAAGAGUUUUUCAGACCUUGAAGGGCUAUAGAAAUAUGAGUCAUAAUAAUAACACUCCUUUGAAAUCUGUGAAUAUGGGCAAAGGGGGAAAAGACACAAAAUAGGAAGUAGCAUUUAUAUAAGGUGGUAAAAAUAUGGUACAAGUCCCAGUGCAAGAAAGUUUUUCUGGAAGUUGGCAAGACUCUAAAGCCAGGGGUUCUCACUUCAGGUUGGAUGUUAGGAUGAAAUAAAAUAUUUGUGAGUUUCUAAACAAAGGAGGAGGUUCACUCUGCCCCAACACAGCCAGGAAAUGCAGCAAAGAUAUAGCAGUUCUUAGCUUCUCUGGAUUUGUCUCCAUCUGUAAACUCAUCUGGUCAGGCAGGCAUCAAGGUUUAGCAAUUGAGGUGGUCUUGGGCACCCACCAAGUCUGAGAAGCUAAGACAACAUGAGCUUGGAUGAUGAAGCUGCAUAGAGAAGUGGGGAACAAUCAUGUAGGGGAAGGAAGCUGUGUCAAGGUCAGGAAACCUGGCCCUAUCACAUUGGACCUCUAAGAAGUGAUAGAACAAUAGCUUUUUAGAGCUGGAAGCAAUCUUGGGCAUCACCUAACCAAUCCUUUCAUUUUGCAUAUAGAGAAACUGAGGCUGAAAAUGGUGAGGAGCCUAGCCUGGGGCCAUAUUGGAAUUAACACAGUGAAAGAAGUUAGGAAGGACUGAGCAUAAAUGCAUCAUUUGUUACACUUAUUAUCUGUGUGACCCUCUGCAAGACACCUUCCUUUCCUUCACAAUCCAAUGUUCUUUCCACUAUGCCUCGCUACAGAAAUGAUACCACUCAUUUGGAAGUAGGCCCAGAAAGUUACCCAACUGUGCAUAUUGACUCACCUAAAUGAUCCCAAAGAAUUAUUUUUGUUGUUUUUUUUUAAAGAAAUGUAUUUAACAGAAUUUAUUACCAAGUAUUUCAGUCCCUCCCUGCACCAUAGAAAGUUUUACCUGAACAAAAAAACAUAUAUAGAGAUUAUGUCUUUUGUGUUCCUAUUUUUCAUUCCUUUUUCUGGAGGUGGACAUUCCCAAGCUAGUCUUCAAAUAUUAAUUCUGUAGCUGUACAUAAUGUUCUCUUGGUUCUACUCAUUUCACUUUUCAUUGCUUCAUGUAAAUCUUUCCAAGUUUUAAAAAUUAACCUGUUUAUUGUUUCUUUUUCUAAAUGUUUUUUUUUUCUGGGUUAUGCAUUAUUAUCAUGCAAAACACAUUUCUAAAUUGUUCAUUUUUUGAAAGUGAAUAAUCUUAAAAAACCGAAACCCUCAAACAUAAACCCAAAUAAAUGAGUUAAAUUGCAUGCUUUCAUCUACAUUCUGAUUCCAACAGUUCUUUUCACUCUUUGUCACAAGUCCCUCAGAAAUGUCCGGUGCAUUGUAUUUGCUGAUAGUGUGGCUCAUCAUUUCUUAUGGCUCAGUAAUAAUCCAUCACAACCCCCAAAGAAAUUAAAGGAAGGGGAAAAGGAUCUAGAUGUACAAAAAUAUUUAUAGGAGUCUUUUCAUGGAAAACAAAUAUUGAAACUAAGAGACUCUCCUUUUGGGGAAUAACUAAACAAAUUGUGAUAGAUGAGCGUGAAAGAAUAAUAUUGUGUCAUAAUAAAUGACGAAAUGGACAAUUUCAGAGGAAACCAGAAAGAGACCUCCAUAAACUGAUAUAGACCAAAGUGAGCAGAAAUAGAACAAUGUAUACAAUAACAAUAUAGGGAAAAACAGCUUUGAAAAACUUCAUAAUUUUGAUCAACAAAAUGAUAAAACACAAGUAUAAAAGAAUGAAGGUGCCAUUUACCUCCGGACAGAGAAGUGAUAACUUAAAAGGCAGAAACAUGGCGAAUGUAGGAUUUGUUUUGCUGAAUUGUGUAGCUGUGACAUUCCAUAUCCAUCCUCAAGCUUCUUUACUCAGUGUAUCCUCAUGCCUGGAAAUCUCUCCUUCUUCAUCUCUGUCUGCUGGCUUUGAACUCUAGCUUUGGUCAAGACCCAGCUGAUGUCCUACCUGUACAAAAAACCUUUUCUGAUCUCCCCCAUUGUCUUAACCUCUAUUAAGUACUUUCAAUUUCUCCUGUACAUAUCUUGUUUGUAUGUCAUUUCUUCUAUUAGACUAUGAGCUCCUUGAGGGCAAGCACAGUGCCCAGUAUGUAGUAGGCACUUAAUGACUAUAUAUUAAGUUAUAUUUGUUUUUAAAUUUUAAAAACAAGCUAGAGUUCAAAGCCAGCAGACAGAGAUGAAGAAGGAGAGAUUUCCAGGCAUGAGGUCUUGGGUUCAAAUUUGGCCUCAGACACUUCCUAGCUGUGUGAUCCUGGGCAAGUCACUUAACUCCCAUUGCUUAGCCCUUACCACUCUUCUGCCUUGGAACCAAUACACAAUAUUGAUUCUGAGACAAAAGGUUUAAAAAAAGAAUUGCCCAGUGAGGGGAUAGUGGAAGUGACAGAUUAAUUUUUAAAAUUCUUGUUAAUGGAAAAAAUAAACUAUUUUACAAAGUUAAAAAAGAUAUUGCUCACCAUCUUACCUCAAGCUUUGGACCAAGUAUUCUUUUUUUUUUUCUACAGUGGAAUAAAUAUUGGCUCUAAAAUAUAGGAUCUUGGUUCAAAUCUAGCCUAUGAUGCCUACUAUUUGUAACUUCAGAGGAGUCAUUGAACUUCCUUGGGGCUCAUUUGUCAUGGGUAAAAUAAGGGGUUUGGAGGUCCCUUCUGGCUUUAGAUCUAGUCUGCUCACUUCUCUUGGAUCAUGAUUUCAAUAAAAUUGAGACUAUGAUAACAUUUUUCAAAACAUCCCCCCUAGCCAUGAGGCUGAUUGGAAGUUGUCCUUUUGACCUUUCUUCAGAUCAGAAUUGACUCCAGAUUCAGUUUUUGAAGAGGUUUCCUAGAGUGUCUUAAAGGUUAGAACAAGGGAACCAACAGAGUAAGCUAAGCAACAGACUAGUUCUGAGUAGUGCCUCACUAAGAAGCUCCCAUAAUGUUAUUCUACUGUGCUACCUUUACUUUGAAAUCUACUAAAUCUUCCAUAUUACUCCAUGCAUGGGCAUGACUCUUGGGAUAGUUCCAAGUGGAGCAACUCUGAAAUCAUGCAAUAGAGAACCUUACAGCGAGUGCUAUUGUAAGCCUUGGUCACCAUCUACCCCAGUUAAGUUUCCCUGGGUCUCAAAAUGUCAGAACUAGGUUCAGUUAAUUAGGGAGCUAAGCCUUGGAAUUCCCUAUUAUUCCAAUCAGGACUCUCAAGAUGGGAAUGCUAUUAUUGUUGCUCAGAUUGUCCAAAAUAAACAAAGACUUAGAGGAGACUUCUCCCUCCAGCUUAUACCCAGUGGCUGGGAAAAACAGAGGCACUAGCAAUUGGGAAUCCAGAAUCCAGCAAGAAUUUUCCCAAAUAAUUUUCCCAAUGGUUUUCCAAACGAGCAUUUGUUAAUUAUAUUAUUACAGCAUUUUCUUACUCUAACAGGGCCAACCUCUUAACCCGAUCUUUAAUAGGAGAAUAGUAUACUUUCUUACUUCUUUAUUUAUAAAAUCACAAUUUAUUUUUUGAAUCCUUGCUGUCUUAGUUUAAGUGACUUGCCUAGGGACACACAGCUGAGAAGGAUGUGAGGUUACAUUUGAAUCCAGGUCCUCCAAACUCCAGGCUUGGCACUCUAUCCACUAUAGUACCUAGCUAUCCCUAACAGUAGGCUUUCUUUUGGAAAAUAUCCAAUAUCAGGAAAUAAUUUCAACAUAUACCAAUCAUAUUUACGUAGUCAAUGCUAACUUUUGCUCAUUACCUCCAAUUGAUAUAAAGUUGUUCUAGCAUAUGCUUAACCUAUAGCUACAAAAUACAAAUUAGAUGCAGUUUGUUCAGUGUAGCUUUGGAAAAAGGAGAGCCUGGGUUAGAAGACCAAUUCUGCCAUUUACUAUCAAGAACAAAUCUUAGGCAAAACACUUAACCUGUCUGAGUCUUUGACUCCAAAAUGAAGGGUCUGUACUAAGCUGGCUGCAGAGUUCUUAUAUAGCUUUAAAUCCUCUGGCCCUACUAUGCAAGCAAAAAUUAAUUUUUGAGCAUCUACUUGAGCAACUAACCUAUAUGCUAUAAUUGAAAAGAUAUUAGAUUUGGAAGUCAGAUCUGGGUUCUCCCAUUUUUGCUACUUAUUAGCUUGUAUCCUCAGUCCUUAGCACAGUGCCUGGUAUAAAGUAGGUGCUUAAUAAACAUUUGUUAAUUGACAUAACUAUUUCAACUUUCUUAGCCACAGUUUUCUCAUCUGUAAAACAGGAAUGUCAAAAAUCUUUUUUCCCUCUAUCAUCUAGUAAUUGUGAAUAUCAAAUGGGAUCAUAUUUUUGAAAGGUCCUCACAUAGUACAUUAUUAAGUCCUUAACAAAUAUUUGUUGAAGAAUUGAAAAUGCUUUCAAAACUUCAAAACAAGAGCCAUUCCCCAGUUGAUAAAAGGUCAAAAGAUAUGAACAGUUUUCAGAAGUUGAAAUCAAAAUACUCACAUUAAAAAAUGUUCUAAAUCACUACUAAUUAGGGAAAUGCAAAUUAAAAUAACUGAGGUACCAUCUCACAUCUAUCAAAUUGGCUAAUAUAACAGAAAAGAAAAGCAACAAAUGCUAGAGAGGAGAUUAAAAAAAAAACUGGGACAUUAAUCCUCUGUUAGUGGUAAUCUGCCCUCGUCCAACCAUUCUGAAAAACAUCUUGGAAUUACAAACAAAAACCUAUAAAACUGUGCAUACCCUUUGACCCAGCAAUACCACUACUAGGUCUAUAUCCUAAAGACUUGGUUUUUUUUUUUCCUAAAGAGAUUUUUACAAGAUGAGGGGACCUAUUUGUAGAAAAAUAUUUAUAGUAUUUUUUCGUGGUGUCAAAGACUUGAAAAUCAAAGGGAUGCCCAUCAAUUAAGGAAUGGCUGAAUAAGUUCUGGUAUAUGAUUGUGAUGGAAUACUAUUGUACUCUAAGAAAUAACAAGCUGGAUGAUUUCAGAAAAACCUGGGAAGACUUAUAUGAACUGUUACAAAGUGAAGUGAGCAGAACAAGAGAACAUCAUACAUAGUAACAGCAAUAUUCUUAGGAAUACCAAUUGUGAGAGAAAGGAUUAGCUAAUUCUGAUUGAGACAAGAAACAAGAUUACCAAGGACUCAUGAUGAAAAAUGCUGUCUACCUCCAGAGAAAGAACUGAUAAGUCUGAAAUGCAUCAUACUUAUUUUAAAACGUAUUUAUUGUUUUAUUGUUUUCUUUUGCAACAUGGCUAAUAUGGAAAUGUUUGACUUGAUCUCACAUGUAUAAUAAAAAUCAAAGUGCUUGCCUUUUCAAGGAGAAGGGAGAGAAGGGUGGGAACUCAAAAUUUUAAAAAAUGAUUAUUAAUUUUUUACAGGUAGUUGGGAAAUUUUUAAUGAUACAAAUAAAAGUGUUUUUUUUAAUAUGGUACUUAUCCUCAAAGAGCUUACAAUAGAAUUAAGAGACAAGAUUUUCAUAUCUGAGACCAUAAAAGUAUGUGUUAUAUUCUGGAAUGUAUUAGGAAUUUGAAGACAGGAAAGGUGAAUGGAGUAAGACUAAAUAGUGGGGAAGGAGGGCCAUGAACAGAUGGGGUAGAUUUGUGCCCUAAAUAGGAAUAUUAACACCUGAGACAAUUUCUGUCUCAGGAACCAUAUGGAAACAUAUGGAAACAGGUUCCAAAUUAUGAAAAGCAAUAGUGAUACAACUUAAAGCAACUGAGAUUUCACCUCACACCACAUUAGUUGGCAAAGGCUGACAAAUGAUGGAGACAGUGUUUGGAGGAGUUGUGGCAAAACUACUCUAAUUCACUGUUGCUGGCAAAACUACUCUAAUUCACUGUUGCUGGAACUGAGAAGUGGCCCAACCUUUCUGGAUAUCAAUUUGUAAUUAUGCAAGAAAUGCAUCCUAAAGGACCCAGAGAUCCCACUAGUGGUCAUAUAGUCCAAGGAAGUAAAAACAAACAAACAAAAAAGGUACAGGAUGGACCAGCUGUGUUAGCAAGGAACCAAAAGCAAAGAAAGGGCCCACUAAUUGGGGAACAGAUGAAAAAAUAAUGGUGCACAAGUAUAGUGGACAUUGUUGUACAGUAAGAAAUGACAAAGGCGAAGAGCUCAGAGAAACAUAAGGAAGUCAUGAAUUAUAUGAACUGAUACAGAGGAAAAUAGGUAGAAACAAAUAUAAAAGAUAGUGACUACAAUGAUAUAAAUGAAUUAAAGAUCAUAAAAAAGAACUGAAAAACCAGUGAUGUCCUAGAAGAUAACAUGAAACAUACUUCUGCAUCAAAGAACCACCAAAGGGCUGGGAACAACUAGGAUAGAAUUGUUAUACAUUAUUGUCAGAUAAUAGUCACUGUAUCAAUACUUUAUGUUUAAUUAUUUUGCUUUCUUACAAAGGAAAGUUCAAUAAGGUUGGGCUGCAAUGACCACAAUAUAAAGAAAAAAGGCAUCAAUAAAACUUUUUAAAAA